This 605-nucleotide ribosomal RNA is filed under the name uncultured Acidimicrobiaceae bacterium. RNAcentral's name for it is "bacterial SSU rRNA". It matches the Rfam family "Bacterial small subunit ribosomal RNA", at positions 9 to 621 of the family's 1533-position model. The record is from RNAcentral. Lineage: Bacteria; Bacillati; Actinomycetota; Acidimicrobiia; Acidimicrobiales; Acidimicrobiaceae.
GAGUUUGAUCAUGGUUCAGGACGAACGCUGGCGGCGUGCCUAACACAUGCAAGUCGAACGAGGUUCAGUCAGUAGCAAUACUGACGAAGACCUAGUGGCGAACGGGUGAGUAGCACGUGAGCAACCUGCCCCGAAGACCGGGACAACACCGGGAAACCGGUGCUAAUACCGGAUAGCCCCAUUGAGUCGCAUGGCUCGAUGAGGAAAUGGAUUCCGCUUCGGGAGGGGCUCGCGGCCUAUCAGCUUGUUGGUGGGGUAACGGCUCACCAAGGCUUCGACGGGUAGCUGGUCUGAGAGGACGAUCAGCCACACUGGGACUGAGACACGGCCCAGACUCCUACGGGAGGCAGCAGUGGGGAGUCUUGCACAAUGGGCGAAAGCCUGAUGCAGCAACGCCGCGUGAGGGACGAAGGCUUUCUGAGUUGUAAACCUCUUUCAGCAGGGACGAUUGUGACGGUACCUGCAGAAGAAGCCCCGGCCAACUACGUGCCAGCAGCCGCGGUAAUACGUAGGGGGCAAGCGUUGUCCGGAUUUAUUGGGGCGUAAAGAGCUCGUAGGCGGCUUGGCAAGUCGGAUGUGGAAACCUCCAGGCUCAACCUGGAGUC